RNAcentral lists this ribosomal RNA (1422 nucleotides) under uncultured Ochrobactrum sp. RNAcentral's name for it is "bacterial SSU rRNA". It matches the Rfam family "Bacterial small subunit ribosomal RNA". Lineage: Bacteria; Pseudomonadati; Pseudomonadota; Alphaproteobacteria; Hyphomicrobiales; Brucellaceae. The record is from RNAcentral.
GAGUAACGAACGCUGGCGGCAGGCUUAACACAUGCAAGUCGAGCGCAAGGCAAGGGGAGCGGCAGACGGGUGAGUAACGCGUGGGAACGUACCAUUUGCUACGGAAUAUAUCAGGGAAACUUGUGCUAAUACCGUAUGUGCCCGAAAGGGACAAGAUUUAUCGGCAAAUGAUCGGCCCGCGUUGGAUUAGCUAGUUGGUGGGGUAAAGGCCUACCAAGGCGACGAUCCAUAGCUGGUCUGAGAGGAUGAUCAGCCACACUGGGACUGAGACACGGCCCAGACUCCUACGGGAGGCAGCAGUGGGGAAUAUUGGACAAUGGGCGCAAGCCUGAUCCAGCCAUGCCGCGUGAGCGAUGAAGGCCCUAGGGUUGUAAAGCUCUUUCACCGGUGAAGAUAAUGACGGUAACCGGAGAAGAAGCCCCGGCUAACUUCGUGCCAGCAGCCGCGGUAAUACGAAGGGGGCUAGCGUUGUUCGGAUUUACUGGGCGUAAAGCGCACGUAGGCGGGAUAAUAAGUCAGGGGUGAAAUCCCGGGGCUCAACCCCGGAACUGCCUGUGAUACUGUUAGUCUUGAGUAUGGUAGAGGUGAGUGGAAUUCCGAGUGUAGAGGUGAAAUUCGUAGAUAUUCGGACAACACCAGUGGCGAAGGCGGCUCACUGGACCAUUACUGACGCUGAGGUGCGAAAGCGUGGGUAGCAAACAGGAUUAGAUACCCUGGUAGUCCACGCCGUAAGUGAUGAAUGUUAGCCGUUGGGGAGUCUACUCUUCGGUGGCGCAGCUAACGCAUUAAACAUACCGCCUGGGGAGUACGGUCGCAAGAUUAAAACUCAAGUCCAUUGACGGAGGCCCGCACAAGCGGUGGAGCAUGUGGUUUAAUUCGAAGCAACGCGCAGAGUCUUACCAGCCCUUGACAUCGCGAUCGCGGUUAGUGGAGACACUAUCCUUCAGUUCGGCUGGAUCGGAGACAGGUGCACCAUGGCUGUCGUCAGCUCGUGUCGUGAGAAGUUGGGUUAAGUCCCGUUCGAGCCUACCCUCGCCCUUAGUUGCCAGCAUUCAGUUGGGCACUCACAGGUGACUGCCGGUGAUAAGCCGACAGGAAUUUGGGGAUGACGUCAAGUCCUAAUGGCCGUUACGGGCUGGGCUACACACGUGCUACAAUGGUGACGACAGUGGUCAGCGAGCACGCGUGUGUGAGCUAAUCUCCAAAAGCCAUCUCAGUUCGGAUUGCACUCUGCAACUCGAGUGCAUGAAGUUGGAAUCGCUAGUAAUCGCGGAUCAGCAUGCCGCGGUGAAUACGUUCCAUGGCCUUGUACACACCGCCCGUCACACCAUGGGAGUUGGUUUUACCCGAAGGCGCUGUGCUAACCGCAAGGAGGCAGGCGACCACGGUAGGGUCAGAUACUGGGGUGAAGUCGAUCCGUAG